UACGUAGGGGGCAAGCGUUGUCCGGAAUCAUUGGGCGUAAAGCGCGCGUAGGCGGCUAGCUCAGUCUGCUGUAAAAGUCAAAGGCUCAACCUUUGAAAGCCGGUGGAUACUGUCUAGCUAGAGUCCGGAAGAGGCGAGUGGAAUUCCUGGUGUAGCGGUGGAAUGCGCAGAUAUCAGGAGGAACACCAACGGCGAAGGCAGCUCGCUGGGACGGUACUGACGCUAAGGCGCGAAAGCGUGGGGAGCGAACAGG
Molecule: ribosomal RNA, 253 nt
Filed under: uncultured bacterium
Lineage: Bacteria
Description: partial 16S ribosomal RNA
Rfam family: Bacterial small subunit ribosomal RNA
Source: RNAcentral